GGUCCGUAGGCGGUCUAAUAAGUCAGUGGUGAAAUCCUUCCGCUUAACGGGAGAACGGCCAUUGAUACUGUUAGACUUGAAUUAUUAGGAAGUAACUAGAAUAUGUAGUGUAGCGGUGAAAUGCUUAGAGAUUACAUGGAAUACCAAUUGCGAAGGCAGGUUACUACUAAUGGAUUGACGCUGAUGGACGAAAGCGUGGGUAGCGAACAGGAUUAGAUACCCUGGUAGUCCACGCCGUAAACGAUGGAUACUAGCUGUUGGGAGUAAUCUCAGUGGCUAAGCGAAAGUGAUAAGUAUCCCACCUGGGGAGUACGUUCGCAAGAAUGAAACUCAAAGGAAUUGACGGGGGCCCGCACAAGCGGUGGAGCAUGUGGUUUAAUUCGAUGAUACGCGAGGAACCUUACCAAGGCUUAAAUGUAGUUUGACCGGUUUGGAAACAGAUCUUUCGCAAGACAAAUUACAAGGUGCUGCAUGGUUGUCGUCAGCUCGUGCCGUGAGGUGUCAGGUUAAGUCCUAUAACGAGCGCAACCCCUGUUGUUAGUUGCCAGCGAGUCAUGUCGGGAACUCUAACGAGACUGCCAGUGCAAACUGUGAGGAAGGUGGGGAUGACGUCAAAUCAUCACGGCCCUUACGCCUUGGGCUACACACGUGCUACAAUGGACGGUACAGAGAGCA
Molecule: ribosomal RNA, 675 nt
Filed under: uncultured bacterium
Lineage: Bacteria
Description: bacterial SSU rRNA
Rfam family: Bacterial small subunit ribosomal RNA
Source: RNAcentral